RNAcentral lists this ribosomal RNA (296 nucleotides) under uncultured Pseudomonas sp. Its description in RNAcentral is "partial 16S ribosomal RNA". It matches the Rfam family "Bacterial small subunit ribosomal RNA", at positions 1089 to 1382 of the family's 1533-position model. The record is from RNAcentral. Lineage: Bacteria; Pseudomonadati; Pseudomonadota; Gammaproteobacteria; Pseudomonadales; Pseudomonadaceae.
GUAACGAGCGCAACCCUUGUCCUUAGUUACCAGCACGUUAUGGUGGGCACUCUAAGGAGACUGCCGGUGCAAACCGGAGGAAGGUGGGGAUGACGUCAAGUCAUCAUGGCCCUUACGGCCUGGGCUACACACGUGCUACAAUGGUCGGUACAAAGGGUUGCCAAGCCGCGAGGUGGAGCUAAUCCCAUAAAACCGAUCGUAGUCCGGAUCGCAGUCUGCAACUCGACUGCGUGAAGUCGGAAUCGCUAGUAAUCGUCGAAUCAGAAUAGUCACGGUGAAUACGUUCCCGGGCCGUU